UCGUGUGUUUGUCCGCUAGGUGACGCCUGUAGUGACAACUUCCUCAGUUAAACUAUAGACUGGGCUGCCAUGUUGAUACUUGUCCAGUCUGCCUCUCCAGAGACGGCAAUCCCAUCGACCACAGCCCUACAUUUAUAAACAUUUUCAUUGGACUUUCAUACACAUACAUAUAUAAAUCUGUGUGUGUGUGUGUGUUGUACAUAUAUAGAUAUAUAUACUCUCCCAAUUCCAUACCUUUACAUAGCCCCGAAUCAAACACUUCAAGAUGAUGAUGCCUGUGUCAUUGCCCCCUAUGACAGGGCCGCCUCCACAACUCCCCAAUUUGAACCACCCUCCACCCAACAUGCCUCCUCGAUUCAAUAUGCCACCUCCCAUGGCCAUGUCUCAAGGACCUGGCAUCAUGCUUCCUCAAGGUUCCCAGCAACAACAACAACAGCAGCAGCAGCAGCAACAACAGCAACAACAAUUACAACAGCGUAGCUACAUGCAACAGAAAAUGAUGGCCAGCCAAGGGAUUAUGUUUGAUGGCAAACGGAUGAGGAAAGCUGUCCACAGAAAAACUGUGGAUUAUAAUUCAGCUGUUGUGAAGUAUCUUGAGAAUCGACUCUAUCAAAGGGACCACCGUGACUUCCGAGCCAUUCAACCAGACUGCCUUUACCAAGAAGGGCUUGUACCACCUCUCAGUAUGUUACAUAAUCCAAUGAACUGUGUGGUCACCAAAUUUGUCCGUACCUCAACCAACAAAUUCAGAUGUCCAAUCUUUGUCUUAACGUGGACACCUGAAGGAAGGCGUUUAGUAACUGGUGCUUCCAGUGGGGAGUUCACUCUGUGGAAUGGUCUUACUUUCAAUUUUGAAACCAUCCUUCAGGCACAUGAUACAUCAGUGCGUGCCAUGGUGUGGAGUCACAGCGACACUUGGAUGGUUACUGCAGAUCAUGCUGGUUAUAUAAAGUACUGGCAAUCUAACAUGAAUAAUGUAAAGAUGUUUCAGGGCCAUAAGGAACCAGUUCGAGGUAUCAGUUUUUGCCCAACAGAUGUGAAGUUCACCACAUGUUCUGAUGAUGGCACUGUUCGGAUCUGGGACUUCCAGAGAUGUCACGAAGAAAAAAUUCUGAGAGGUCAUGGAGCUGAUGUCAAAUGUGUUGACUGGCAUCCACAGAAGGCACUCAUUGCUUCAGGCAGUAAAGACAACCAACAACCCAUUAAACUGUGGGACCCUAAGACAUCGCAGUCUUUAGCUACAAUCCAUGCUCACAAGAGUACCGUGAUGGAAUUGAAAUGGAACAGAAAUGGUAACUGGCUAUUGACAGCGUCGAGGGACCAUUUGUUGAAGUUGUUUGAUAUUCGUAACAUGAAAGAAGAAAUGCAAACAUUCAGGGGCCACAAAAAGGAAGCAACUGCUGCUGCUUGGCACCCAAUUCACGAGGGACUGUUCUGCAGUGGAGGAUCAGAUGGAACCAUUAUGUUCUGGCAAGUAGGAAUUGACAAAGAAGUAGGUGGAAUGGAAGAAGCCCAUGAAGGAAUGGUAUGGAGUCUGGCAUGGCAUCCUAUGGGACACAUUCUAGCAUCUGGUUCCAAUGACCACACCACGAAAUUCUGGACACGUAACCGGCCCGGUGAUAAAAUGAGAGAUCGGUACAAUUUGAACACACUACCUCUAGGAAUGGAUCAAGAGGCUGCUGAUUGUGAUUACGAACAGAUAACCACACAUCUACCUGGAAUGGGUCUUGAACAAUUUCCAGAGAAAGAACAGAAAAUGAAAGAGAUAUCCAGUUUAAGUUGUGGUAGUGGCAGUGACAAUGAUCUUCCUGCAAUUCCUGGACUGGAUUGGGUUGCAGAUGAACAGUACUUAAAGCAACAGAAUGAACAGAGGAUACCCCGCAAGCGGGUACCAUAUGCUCGGCCUGUGCCGAAGAACUUUGAGCAAGCCUGGCUCGGGCAGAAACCGACUGGAGCGGCAGGUACUGAUGGGAGCCAACAAAAACCUCCUGCACAGAAAGACGACGGUACAACGCCAGCUGCCAACCUCCCGCCUCAGUCUAGAGAUGGUGUGACCCCAGCUAAUCAACCACAGACUACCCCACUUGCUGCUGGUAAUCAGACAGUCCCUGCUCCUCCUCCACAGCCAGGAAAGAUGCUUGGCAAUCAGCUCAGUCUGCCCCCAAAUAUGCCCCCACCUCCCCAAAUGCAAGGAGGCCCAAUGAACAUGAAUGCACCUCCACCUCCUCUUCCAAUGGGUGGUCAGGUGAUGCACCCUAUGGCCCAAGGACCUCAGACUAUACAACCACCAGGCAUGAUAGGACCUCCGAAUAUGACUGGUAUGCCUCAGGGAUCACGUCCUCCGGUACAUAAUCCAAUGAAUAUACGAGGUCCAACCAUGCAGCAACCUCCACCUCCACACGGACAAGCUGGCCCCAUGGUAGCCCCAAAUCAGAUGCCUAUGAUACGACAGGGACCACCAGGAAUGCAGUGUCGACCAGGACCAGGUGGUCCAGACCCUAAUGGCCCUCCUCCUCCUCUCGGCAACCAACAGGGACCUCCACCUCCAGGACAGUACAUGCAGGGUGGGGAUGGCCCCGAGAACAACCAGUCCCGACCCCCAGGCAGUGAAGGUGAAAUGGGCAAUCUCAGUCACCGCGACAAGGAUUACCGACAGGGGGGUUCCAAUAUAAAUGAUGGCAACUUCAUGCCACAUGACAUGAGGGGUGGUGACGGCGGAGGAGGUGGAGGAGGGGGCAUGCCCCCACGUGAAGGCAUGGGUGGAGGUCGACGAGGUGACAUGAAUAUGGGACAUGGUGGUGGCGGUGGUCAACGCUUCAACAAUGACCGACCCCCAAACCAGUGGCCACAGGAUGGCCCAGACAUGUCGCAACGCGACAACCAGCCGUAUGACAGAUCCAUGGACGAAUAUCAUGACAUUGACGAGAGGAUGGAGCGUAGCCGUGGUUACCACCAUCACCAACAACAGCAGGGCCGGAAUCAAGGGGGUUUUGGCCCACCUCAAAUGAACAAUCCCAACCAUCCUGAUGCAAUGCACCGGGAUGAUUUUGAACACCACCGGAGGAUGGGUAAUGACUCUGGUGGUCCUGACCAGGGUAUGGACAUGGGUAACAGCCGCAAGCGUCACUGGGAUGAUGACCAGAUGAACGUCCCACCCCCUGCUAUGAUGGACAUGCGAGACAAGUACAAUCGACAAGACAUGGGGCCUGAUUUCUCGUCUGUCCGCAACAACAGCAACAAUUACAACCAAGACUAUAACUCCGGACCACGCGGCAGCGGCGGUGGUGGUGGUGGUGGUGGUGGUGGCGGAGGGUUCAGGGGAGGACGCAACAAUCGCAACAACAAUCGAAAUGGUGGUAGGGGCCCAUACCGAGGGGGGCGCAACAAUCGGUGUAGAUAAUACCAAAUCCACUCUUUGUGCAGGAUCAUACAUGCUGACACAUACACACACACACACACACACACAUAACUAGAAACCUGAAUCUCAAACAUCACAAUCAUCAUCAUCAUAAUCAGCAUCGUUAGCAAGAGAACACUUUGUUGUUUAAAAUUGGUGAGGAAGCAGGGUACUAUAUUAAAGAACGGGGCCGUUUCAUAUUGGCAUUUACUAGAGAUGUAGUCUGUUGUAUAUUGAUGGUAGAAUUUGAUGGAAAGUGGCGGCGGGGUUGUUUUUGGUGGAGUUGGACUGUUUUCUUGGAGGAGUUGUUUGGUGGGGGAAUUGUGUUUGCGAAAUUGUUGGAGAAAUUCAGGGAUUUCACAGAAGUGAUGGAGGUAGCUGAGAUUGGUUGUUGUUCACAGUGCUGACGAAGGAAUUCUAUUCGUGGGAUUCACUGCAGAAGCUCGAAUCCACAGAAUCGAUUAUCGACGGUGGAAUUUUUAGGGUUGAGAGGAAUAUGACUGUUGAAUUCUGUCCCAUGGAGUUUGGAAGAAUUCAUUCAGUUGUUGAUGAAAGACAAACAUGUAUUGAUUAUUGAUUUGUAAACCAAGAGAAAAAAAAAAAGAAACAAAAAAGAAACAAAAAAAAUCCUGAAAACCAAAAACCAAAAAAAAACCCAACAAAAGA
Octopus sinensis (East Asian common octopus) is the source of this 4063-nucleotide RNA transcript. It is a transcript of the gene named pre-mRNA 3' end processing protein WDR33, with no coding region annotated. Lineage: Eukaryota; Metazoa; Mollusca; Cephalopoda; Octopoda; Octopodidae. The transcript is spliced from 16 exons. The record is from RefSeq and is a predicted model, not a curated record.